RNAcentral lists this ribosomal RNA (485 nucleotides) under uncultured bacterium. Its description in RNAcentral is "partial 16S ribosomal RNA". It matches the Rfam family "Bacterial small subunit ribosomal RNA", at positions 30 to 507 of the family's 1533-position model. The record is from RNAcentral.
AUUGAACGCUGGCGGCAGGCUUAACACAUGCCAGUCGAGCGGGGGAAGGUAGCUUGCUACCGGACCUAGCGGCGGACGGGUGAGUAAUGCUUAUGAAUCUGCCUAUUAGUGGGGGACAACAUCCCGAAAGGGAUGCUAAUACCGCAUCCGUCCUACGGGCGAAAGCAGGUGAUCUUCGGACCUUGCGCUAAUAUAUGAGCCUAAGUCGGAUUAGCUAGUUGGUGGGGUAAAGGGCUACCAAGGCGACGAUCUGUAGCGGGUCUGAGAGGAUGAUCCGCAACGCUGGUACGGAGGCACGGCCCAGAAUCCUAGGGGAGGCAGAAGUGGGGGAUAUUGGACGGUGGGAGGAAUGGUGAUCAAGCCACGCCGCGUGUGUGAAGAAUGCAGUAUGGUUGUGAAGGUCAUUAAGCGAGGAGGAUUCUACAUUAGUUAUUCCCUGGAGGUAGAGGACGUUACCCGCAGAAUAAGCACCGGCUAACUCCGUG